Molecule: long non-coding RNA, 1295 nt
Organism: Zingiber officinale
Lineage: Eukaryota; Viridiplantae; Streptophyta; Magnoliopsida; Zingiberales; Zingiberaceae
Exons: 4
Source: RefSeq, a predicted model, not a curated record
UUCGCGACAUCGCCUCUCGCGCGGCUAGGGCACGCGACCUCCCACCGCCAGCCGUCUCUUCUUCCUCACCCAGCAGCUCUUUCUUCUCUCCACUACCGCACAGACCCCUCUCAGGAAUCGGGAAGUGCGGUGGUGGAUUUCGCCGGCGAUGACGACGCCCAACAACCUUCCCAACGGCGGCCACCACCAGCGCCCACACCCUCCGCCCGACCCUCGGAGGCAGCGCCACUACCUCGGUACGCCCAUCGCCACCCCUUCCUCCUCUUCCUCCGCCGCCUCCUUCAAGGGUUGUUGCUGUUGCCUCUUCCUACUCCUCACCUUCCUCGCCCUCCUCGCCAUCGCCGUCGCUCUCGUCAUCGUCCUCAUCCUCAAGCCCAAGAAUGCCCAGUUCGACCUCCAACAGGUGGUCGUGCAGUACCUCCUCGUCGCCCCAGUUUCAGCUGAAUCAGGAUGAAAGCUGAAUAGAUAAUGGUUGAGAUGGAAAAUGACAGCGGCAUGAUCUGUAGCUGGCUUCCUCCAAAUCCAAGCUCGAGAACCCUAUUGUCAAGCUCUUCGACUGAAGAUUUUGGCUCUAGAUCGUUACCAGCUUUCUUGGUAGAGAAUGGAAAUUUGGGGCUUUCAUGGAACCCUAGAAACCAAACGGCGGGUGUGAGCUCAAAAACAGAAGGUGAGGUUGGAGCCAAUUCCAUUAAUUGCCUCUCGCCUCAACCGAAGUUGUUUGGUGACUCUAAAUCAAGCUCAUUUGGAGGGCUUGCACAGAGGAUGGCAACAAGAAAAGGUUUCAAUGUUCCAAAGCUUGAUACAGCCAACAUUCCAUCCACUAGCUUGAUACGGGCUUGAGGUGUCUCAUAGUUGGGAAGAUAGAAAAGAAAGAAGAUCCGAUGCGGAGAACUCUGAGGAUGAAAGACGAAGAUUAAGUAUUGGAGCUUUAAAGAAAAAGGCACUGAGUGCUUCUUCUAAGUUCACACAUUCUCUCAAGAAGCGAGGGAAGAGGAGAGAUGUUAAUAGGACUUCUUCUGUUUCAAUCGAGAAUGAUAGGGAUUUGGAAGAGGAGCACGAAGUAUACACAUUCCGCAAGGGGCUAAUUUCUAGGGACUUAUUGCCUGAUAAACAUGACGACUAUCACAUGCUGCUCAGGUUUCUGAAAGCUAGAAAAUUUGAUCGUGAGAAAGCAACUCUUAUGUAGGCAGAUAUGCUUUAGUGGAGACAGGAAUUUGGAGCAGAUACAAUUUUGGAUAUAUACAAUGGUAGGUGUUUUGUCCCAGUCUCAAGCCGACAAUCCUUUUUGAUCAGUA